UGCAGUCGAACGGGUAGCACAGAGAGCUUGCUCUCGGGUGACGAGUGGCGGACGGGUGAGUAAUGUCUGGGAAACUGCCUGAUGGAGGGGGAUAACUACUGGAAACGGUAGCUAAUACCGCAUAACGUCGCAAGACCAAAGAGGGGGACCUUCGGGCCUCUUGCCAUCAGAUGUGCCCAGAUGGGAUUAGCUAGUAGGUGGGGUAACGGCUCACCUAGGCGACGAUCCCUAGCUGGUCUGAGAGGAUGACCAGCCACACUGGAACUGAGACACGGUCCAGACUCCUACGGGAGGCAGCAGUGGGGAAUAUUGCACAAUGGGCGCAAGCCUGAUGCAGCCAUGCCGCGUGUAUGAAGAAGGCCUUCGGGUUGUAAAGUACUUUCAGCGGGGAGGAAGGUGUUGUGGUUAAUAACCACAGCAAUUGACGUUANCCGCAGAAGAAGCACCGGCUAAYUNCGUGCCAGCAGCCGCGGUAAUACGGANGGUGCMAGCGUUAAUCGGAAUUACUGGGCGUAAAGCGCACGCAGGCGGUCUGUCAAGUCGGAUGUGAAAUCCCCGGGCUCAACCUGGGAACUGCAUUCGAAACUGGCAGGCUGGAGUCUUGUAGAGGGGGGUAGAAUUCCAGGUGUAGCGGUGAAAUGCGUAGAGAUCUGGAGGAAUACCGGUGGCGAAGGCGGCCCCCUGGACAAAGACUGACGCUCAGGUGCGAAAGCGUGGGGAGCAAACAGGAUUAGAUACCCUGGUAGUCCACGCCGUAAACGAUGUCGAUUUGGAGGUUGUGCCCUUGAGGCGUGGCUUCCGGAGCUAACGCGUUAAAUCGACCGCCUGGGGAGUACGGCCGCAAGGUUAAAACUCAAAUGAAUUGACGGGGGCCCGCACAAGCGGUGGAGCAUGUGGUUUAAUUCGAUGCAACGCGAAGAACCUUACCUGGUCUUGACAUCCACAGAACUUUCCAGAGAUGGNUUGGUGCCUUCGGGAACUGUGAGACAGGUGCUGCAUGGCUGUCGUCAGCUCGUGUUGUGAAAUGUUGGGUUAAGUCCCGCAACGAGCGCAACCCUUAUCCUUUGUUGCCAGCGGUUAGGCCGGGAACUCAAAGGAGACUGCCAGUGAUAAACUGGAGGAAGGUGGGGAUGACGUCAAGUCAUCAUGGCCCUUACGACCAGGGCUACACACGUGCUACAAUGGCGCAUACAAAGAGAAGCGACCUCGCGAGAGCAAGCGGACCUCAUAAAGUGCGUCGUAGUCCGGAUUGGAGUCUGCAACUCGACUCCAUGAAGUCGGAAUCGCUAGUAAUCGUAGAUCAGAAUGCUACGGUGAAUACGUUCCCGGGCCUUGUACACACCGCCCGUCACACCAUGGGAGUGGGUUGCAAAAGAAGUAGUUAGCUUAACCUUCG
RNAcentral lists this ribosomal RNA (1396 nucleotides) under Enterobacter sp. 24(2015). RNAcentral describes it as "bacterial SSU rRNA". It matches the Rfam family "Bacterial small subunit ribosomal RNA". The record is from RNAcentral. Lineage: Bacteria; Pseudomonadati; Pseudomonadota; Gammaproteobacteria; Enterobacterales; Enterobacteriaceae.